Molecule: transfer RNA, 73 nt
Filed under: Capra hircus (goat)
Lineage: Eukaryota; Metazoa; Chordata; Mammalia; Artiodactyla; Bovidae
Also listed under: 1 other name
Rfam family: tRNA
About the family: Transfer RNA (tRNA) molecules are approximately 80 nucleotides in length. Their secondary structure includes four short double-helical elements and three loops (D, anti-codon, and T loops).
Source: Rfam by way of RNAcentral
UGCCUGGUAGUCCAGCAGUUAAGACUUUGUGCUGCCAGCACAGGGGGCCCGGGUUUGAUUCCUGGCCAGGGAA